UACCAUUGUGAGAGCAAUGUUAAUUUAAAAGAAUAACAAUAAUAGCAAUAAGAAGUCCUGCCCCAGGACAAGAAAAUCUGCUCCCACCUCAGGGCUUUUAAAUUUUGACACAAGAUUGUCAACUAAAGAAAUGAGGAACAACUGGGAAAAGGAAAUCGCAGCUGUGAUUUCUCCUGAACUGGAGCAUCUAGAUAAAACCCUUCCCACCAUGAAUAAUCUCAUCAGCCAAGAUAAGCGUAUCAGCUCUAACCCUGUGGCCAAAAUAAUAUAUGGUGACCCAGUGACCUUCCUGCCCCACCUGCCCCAGAAGAGUGUGGUCCAUUGCUCUAAGAUUUGGAGCUGCAGGAAAAGAAUUACAGUUGAGUACCUCCAGCACAUUGUGGAACAGAAAAACGGCAAAGAAAGAGUGCCCAUCCUCUGGCGUUUCCUGCAGAAGGAAGCAGAGCUGAGGCUGGUAAAGUUCCUGCCUGAGAUUUUGGCCUUGCAAAGGGGUCUAGUGAAGCAGUUCCAGAACGUCCCGCAAGUUGAAUACAACUCCAUCAGAGGCUUCCUCAGCAAGCACAGCUCAGGUGGGUUGAGGCGGCUACUUCAGAACAGAAUCACAGUCUUUCUGUCGACAUGGAACAAACUGAGGAGAUCACUUGAGAUGAACGGCGAGAUCAACCUACCCAAAGCCUACUGCAGCACUGACUUGGAUCUGGAUGCUGAUUUUGAGAUCCUCUUGCCACGCCGACGGGGCCUGGGCCUCUGUGCUACCGCUCUCGUCAGCUACUUGAUUCGCCUACACAAUGAAAUUGUCUACGCCGUGGAAAAACUCCCGGAGGGAAACAACAGCUAUUCCGUGGAUGCCACCGAGGUCACUGACCUGCAUGUCAUCAGUUACGAAGUGGAGCGGGACCUGACUCCACUGAUUCUCUCCAACUGCCAGUACCAGGUGGAGCAGGGCAGAGAGACCCUGCAGGAGUUCGAUCUGGAGAAGAUUCAGCAGCAGAUCGUCAGCCGCUUCAUCCAGGGCAAGCCCCGGCUGAGCCUCAAGGGAAUACCCACUCUGGUCUACAGACACGACCGGAACUAUGAACAUCUCUUUAUGGACAUCAAGAACAAAAUGGCGCAGGACUCCCUCCCCAGCUCGGUCAUUAGUGCCAUCAGUGGACAGCUGCAGUCCUACAGCGAUGCCUGUGAAGCGCUGUCUGUCGUAGAAGUCACUCUGGGGUUUCUGAGCACAGCUGGUGGGGAUCCAAACAUGCACCUGAAUGUGUAUACUCAAGACAUCCUGCAAAUGGGUGAUCAGACGACUCACGUGUUAAAGGCGUUAAACAGAUGCCAGUUAAAACACACCAUUGCCCUCUGGCAGUUCCUAUCUGCUCAUAAGUCUGAACAGCUGCUGCGGCUGCAGAAAGAGCCAUUUGGGGAAAUCAGUUCAAGGUACAAAGUGGAUCUGAGUUCGGAAAAUGCUAAGCUCCUCAGCACAUUCCUAAAUCAGAUUGGCCUAGACGCCUUCCUGCUAGAGCUGCACGAAAUGAUAAUCUUGAAACUAAAGAACCCCCAAACCGAGGGGAGCUUCAACCAUGAGUGGAGCCUGAGAGACACUCUCAUAAGUUACAUGGAAACUAAAGAAAGUGAAAUUCUUCCUGAAAUGGAAUCUCAGUUCCCAGAAGAGAUACUGCUCGCCAACUGUGUCUCAGUGUGGAAAACAGCUGCUGUGCUGAAACGGAAUCGACAAAUCAGAUAGAAUUAUUUCUUCAGCUAUCUUUGGAUGACUUUGGAGAGAAGACUCUCCUCGUCUGCGGCGUGGACUUCAUCACGUACUGGUGCCUUUGCAUUCAGAAGGAGAGCUGUCAGCAUAGCACCAAAUUCAAGACCAAAGCGUGCUACCUGAGCUGACAGCUUUUUCAAAGCUGAGCUGUUUCUGAACCAUGUAUAUACAUGUUCUGAAACUUUCUCAUCAUGAGUACUGUUCACUGGGAGAUAACAAUGAAGAUUAGAUGAAAUUGGAAAUAAACCAACAUUGUUUACAUUCCAGGAGUCAUAUAGCUCAGCCACACACGCAGUAAUGAUCUGUGCACGCUCGCCUCUGGCACUGCCCACCCCUCUUUUUUUUUUUUUUCUUCUAAUUCUGUACUCACAAAAGAGAAUCUCAUUUUCUUCUUUCUUCCAUUCCCUUAAAUUCUGAGUAUUGUACAUAUAUUUCUGGGUUCCCAAGAUGAUGUGAAAAACUACCAGACUGUUUUUUGUCUUCUCACAAAAACAAGAAAAAUCAGGGCAUUUUGUGAGUGCCUUAAGAUCAAACUAACAAGAUCUGACCCUCACCCUCACAAUGAGUCACUGCCCCACUUCAGAGGGUAAGAGCCAAAAGCCUCAUUGUGAAAAGCACUGGACUUGGACCAGAGACACCAUCAGGGCCUUGGUUUUCUCAUGCAUAAAAUGGAGAGUGGAUUAAUCGCCAAAGAUUCUUCCGAUCUGAUAUUUUGAAAUUAUAAGAGAAACGAGAUGACUGUAAACUUGGUCACAGGCCUGGUUCCGGCAGUUCUUUGCGGACUUUUUUCUAGCGUUAUGCCAAAUAAACAUGCAGUCUCAGUGUGCUCUAGCAUGUAUGAAUAUCUAGUCCUUUCUGUGGUUCUCAGCCAAGACAUAAAAACUAGGACUCAGAGUGCAUACAAAACCAGUUACGUUUCGGAAAGAGGGAAAAGAGUCCCCGAGCCCGAAUCUUGUGCUGCUUUUCUCACUGAAGUGUUGCCUUUUUUCUUUCCAAAAUCUGCUUUGAUACUUAGGACCUCUCUGGACUAACUUCUCUUCCUAGACAGCUCAGCACAGCUAUUGAUAUGUUAGAGGCAGUAUCCUUAAUAUUCAUUCUAAAUGAGUUAAUGACUUAACUUGAAAUUGGGCCUAAGGAGUGAGAGCUACAAAAAUACAAAAUGCUUAUCCAGGACUCAGCCAUGCACACCUUGAGCAGCGCUGGCAGGAGCCACGGAAGGAACUGUGCUCCGUUCUCCUCACUGUGAUGGUGCCGCCACAGCGUCUGACGAAGGGAGAGUGACCCAGACUGCAGGCAGUAACUGACUUCACACAGUCCCUGGCAUUUAGUCAUCUGUGAUUGUUUUAUCACUCUGGACUGUGCAGAGCCACCUGCCACCGAGAUCUGCAUUCCGACUGCCUAUGAACGGGUGUGGGGGCCGGGGGCCAGCUUGCUGAAGUCUUCAACUUGCACUCGGAGCUCCUUUGAUACCUCAGAGCUGGCCGUCAGGUGGCAGCUCACACCCAGACUCACUGGCCACACCUCAGCAGGACCCAGACUCACUGGCCACACCUCAGCAGGACCCAGACUCACUGGCCACACCUCAGCAGGGGGGAGUCGAGUGUCAGUCUCUUGCUGUGAAGGCUUUUUUUUUCCUUUGGCCUGGGAAUUUUUCCCAUUUUUAUGAAGAAGUUUUAAAUUGUUUCAUUUUGUGUGCUGUGCUUCAAAGCCUUAACUGUCAAAUCUUGCAUUAUCUUGUUUGUACAGAAAUAUACUGGCCUAGCAGAGGCAAAAAAAAAAAAAAGAAUUUUAUUUUACUUGUCAUACCUGUCUUAAUAAACUGGAGUUUUGCUGCUAAAGAA
RNAcentral lists this small RNA (3597 nucleotides) under Pongo abelii (Sumatran orangutan). RNAcentral describes it as "processed transcript". Lineage: Eukaryota; Metazoa; Chordata; Mammalia; Primates; Hominidae. The record is from RNAcentral.